Non-coding RNA from Multifurca ochricompacta, 72 nucleotides. The record is from the annotation of a GenBank genome assembly. NCBI's taxonomy places the organism in Eukaryota, Fungi, Basidiomycota, Agaricomycetes, Russulales, Russulaceae.
GACUCGGUAGCUCAGUGUAGAGCAUACCGAUUGCAGAUCGUGCGGUCCCGUGUUCGAACCACGGUCGGGUCU